This 1985-nucleotide ribosomal RNA is filed under the name human gut metagenome. Its description in RNAcentral is "bacterial LSU rRNA". It matches the Rfam family "Bacterial large subunit ribosomal RNA", at positions 3 to 2002 of the family's 2925-position model. The record is from RNAcentral.
UCAAGCUACUAAGGGCAUACGGCGGAUGCCUAGGCGCCAUGAGCCGAUGAAGGACGCGGUAAGCUGCGAAAAGCCACGGGGAACUGCAAGCAAGUAUUGAUCCGUGGAUAUCCGAAUGGGGAAACCCAACUACCGUCAUGGGUAGUUAUCCGAAAGGAAGGGAACCUGGGGAACUGAAACAUCUAAGUACCCGGAGGAAAAGAAAUCAAACGAGAUGCCCACAGUAGCGGCGAGCGAAGAGGGCAGAGCCCAAACCGUAAAGCUACGGCUUUACGGGGUUGAGGACCGGCAUAAUCGAAGUCAGGUCUAGCUGAACUACCUGGAAAGGUAGGCAAUAGAGUGUAAAAGCCACGUAAGCGAAAGACAGAGCGGAGAGGCCGAGAUCCAGAGUACCACGAAGCACGAGGAAUUUUGUGGGAAGCAGGGGGGACCACCCUCCAAGGCUAAAGACUAAAUGGCGACCGAUAGCGCAUAGUACCGUGAGGGAAAGGUGAAAAGAACCCCGGGAGGGGAGUGAAAGAGUACCUGAAACCGUAUGUCUACAAGCAGUCGGAGCGAAAGCGACGGCGUGCCUAUUGAAGAAUGAACCAACGAGUUACGUGCAGUAGCGAGGUUAAGUGGAAGACACGGAGCCGAAGCGAAAGCGAGUCUUAAGAGGGCGAAUAGUUGCUGUACGUAGACCCGAAACCGCAGUGAUCUACCCAUGUCCAGGUUGAAGCGCAGGUAAAAUUGCGUGGAGGACCGAACCGGUGAGCGUUGAAAAGCUUUCGGAUGAGAUGUGGGUAGAGGUGAAAUUCCAAUCGAACGCGGAGAUAGCUGGUUCUCCCCGAAAUAGCUUUAGGGCUAGCCUCAAGUAGUAAGUAUAGGCGGUAGAGCACUGAUCGGGCUAGGGGCCGUAAAGGUUACCGAACCCUGUCAAACUCCGAAUGGUUAUACUGCAAAGCUUGGGAGUCAGACUACGAGUGAUAAGAUCCGUGGUCAAAAGGGAAACAGCCCAGACCACCAGCUAAGGUCCCCAAUGCCGUACUAAGUGGAAAAGGAUGUGGGGUCUCAUAAACAACCAGGAUGUUGGCUUAGAAGCAGCCACCAUUUAAAGAGUGCGUAAUAGCUCACUGGUCGAGAGACCCUGCGCCGAAGAUUACCGGGGCUAAAGUACGGAACCGAAGCUGUGGCUACAUACUUAGGUAUGUGGGGUAGGGGAGCGUUCCCAUAGGGUUGAAGUCGUACUGUAAGGUACGGUGGACUUGUGGGAAGUGAGAAUGUUGGUAUGAGUAGCGAAAAGAAAGGUGAGAAUCCUUUCCACCGAAAGCAUAAGGAUUCCUGGGCAACGAUCGUCGUCCCAGGGUAAGUCGGGACCUAAUCCGAGGCAGAGAGCGUAGGAGAUGGACAACUGGUUGAUAUUCCAGUACCGGUGAUAAUUGUUUGAGCGAUGGAGUGACACAGGAGGGUAGGUCAGCAGGAGAUUGGUUGUUCCUGUGAAAGCGUGUAGGAUGGCAGAUAGGCAAAUCCGUCUGCUGAAAGUCUGAGGCGUGAGACGAGAUGGUAGAAAUACCGUCGAAGUGAUUGACCCCACACUGUCGAGAAAAGCUUCUAGUGAGAUUAUAACCGCCCGUACCGUAAACCGACACAGGUAUGCGGGGAGAGAAUCCUAAGGUGCGCGGGAGAACCCUCGUUAAGGAACUCGGCAAAAUGUACCCGUAACUUCGGGAUAAGGGUAGCCGCUGUUGUGAAGUCUGAACAGAUGGAGCAUAAGGCGGUCGCAGAGAAGAGGCCCAAGCGACUGUUUACCACAAACACAGGUGCCUGCUAAAGCGAAAGCUGACGUAUAGGUGCUGACACCUGCCCAGUGCCGGAAGGUUAAGGAAGGAUGUCCGGAGUAAUCCAAAGCAUUCGACCGAAGCCCCGGUGAACGGCGGCCGUAACUAUAACGGUCCUAAGGUAGCGAAAUUCCUUGUCGGGUAAGUUCCGACCCGCACGAAAGGUGU